Molecule: ribosomal RNA, 486 nt
Filed under: uncultured bacterium
Lineage: Bacteria
Description: partial 16S ribosomal RNA
Rfam family: Bacterial small subunit ribosomal RNA
Source: RNAcentral
GAACGCUGGCGGCGUGCUUAACACAUGCAAGUCGAACGGUGAAGGGAUCAGCUUGCUGGUUCUGGAUGAGUGGCGAACGGGUGAGUAACACGUGAGUAACCUGCCCCCUUCUUCUGGAUAACCGCAUGAAAGUGUGGCUAAUACGGGAUAUUCUGCGCCUGCUGCAUGGUGGGUGUGGGAAAGAUAUUGUUUCGGUGGGGGAUGGGCUCGCGGCCUAUCAGCUUGUUGGUGGGGUGAUGGCCUACCAAGGCGGUGACGGGUAGCCGGCUUGAGAGGGUGGACGGUCACACUGGGACUGAGACACGGCCCAGACUCCUACGGGAGGCAGCAGUGGGGAAUAUUGCACAAUGGGCGCAAGCCUGAUGCAGCGACGCCGCGUGAGGGAUGGAGGCCUUCGGGUUGUGAACCUCUUUCGCCAGUGAAGCAGGCCUGUCCCUUGUGGGUGGGUUGACGGUAGCUGGAUAAGAAGCGCCGGCUAACUACGUG